This 1468-nucleotide long non-coding RNA is filed under the name Homo sapiens (human). Its description in RNAcentral is "HSALNT0397873". The record is from RNAcentral. Lineage: Eukaryota; Metazoa; Chordata; Mammalia; Primates; Hominidae.
AGGAGCUUCCGCGAGGCUCGCCCGGCAGCUCCUGCUCCACAGCAGGCUUCCUACUUUGACGCCUCACGCGCUCUUCAGCUCUCUUUUUCUGUGGGUCUCGCGGCUCUCCCCCUCUACAAUUACGAGUAGUGCCUUGAGCCGGGCGUUCGGAGACCCACACAGGAGGGACAGGAUGGGGAGAGCGGCAUUAAAGGGUGGUGACUCAGGAGUUCAAGACCAGCCUGGCCAACAUGACGAAACCCCGUCUCUACCAAAAAUACAAAAAUUAGCCAGGCAUGAUGGCGGACGCCUGUAAUCCCACCUACUCGGGCGGCUGAGGCAGGAGAAUCGCUUGAACCCGGGAGGCGGAGGUUGCAGUGAGGCGAGAUAGCGCCACUACACUCCAGCCUGGGCGACAGAGCGAGACUCCGUCUCAAAAUAAAAAUAAAAAAAAAAUAAAGGCGGGGUGGUGGUGGUGACAAGCCCCUAUUACGGCCUUAGUGCGGGAUUCCCCUUGGGGCGGGAGACGUCGUCCUUCCGGGUGCGGGUGCGGACUGCAAGUCCUAUCGGGGACCGCGACACCGGACUGCAUCCGCCAGCGUCCAGGGCGUAGCGCCCCCCAGGCGCUGCCUUCGUCCAUCUCUACGGGGAGUGGCGGCCAGAAGACUGGGUUUUCCCCGUGCAGCUGUGCCCCACGUUGGGGAAACUGACUUUUCAGAUGGCCUCACCCCUUAGUGCCAUCCAGUGAUGAAGUCACCAGGUGGAGGUGGUGCUGGCUAAAACUCGAAGAUUAUUCCUUUACUCUGAGAAUCUCCUCAACAUCCACCAUUCCUGCUAUCUGGAACUCAAGUCAUCAGCAUACAGAACUACAAUCAGAAAAAGAGUCAGCCCCACUGUAGGCCCCCAAAUACUAAGGGACAAAAUGUUGCAUCUUCUGAUUCUAAAGCCCAUUCUCUUUCCACUAUAUCAAUAACCCUCAAAUUCAUGCCAAAUGUACAUUAGUUUUUGUGUCUGGUACUUUCCUUCUUAGAGUGCUUGGGGAGGAUGGUGGGAAGGAAUGAAGAGGACAAGGACAGACUCGUCUGCCUCAAUACAUCCACAUAGUGGACACCACUGUCUUUUGGGAAGCUUCCCCCUCUCUCAGGAGUACGUGAGUAAGUUGUUUCCCUGGCUACCUUCCUGGGGAACCAAAGUUUGCGGGGAAAGAACACAUCAAAGUGCUUGUUGCAAAGAAGAACCUCCUCUUUAUUCCACAUAUAGAAGCUGUGUUUCCAGAGCUGGGAAAGGGCUUCGACCUGGCCCUACCUCUGUGUGGGCCUAGAGAUGAAGGUCUAGGGCCGGGCGUGGUGGCUCACACCUGUAAUCCCAGCUACUUGGGAGGCUGAGGCAUGAGAUUUGCUUGAACCCGGGAGGCGGAGGUUGCGGUGAGCUGAGAUCGUGUCAUUGCACUCCAGCCUGGGCAAUAAGAGUGAAACACCGUCUCAAAAAA